Nerophis ophidion (straightnose pipefish) is the source of this 1201-nucleotide long non-coding RNA. RefSeq lists it as uncharacterized. NCBI's taxonomy places the organism in Eukaryota, Metazoa, Chordata, Actinopteri, Syngnathiformes, Syngnathidae. The record is from RefSeq and is a predicted model, not a curated record. The transcript has 3 exons.
UUUCACUUUCACAUAAAAUAUGUAGCGUCCCCGAGUCUUCCCUCCCGUUCAGCAAGCUGACAGUCAGUGCGUGCUGAUAAGACCGGAAGGGAGAUAGUGGACGAGAAAACGAGCUGACCCAUUCAAGCAAAGAAUCCCUUCCGCGUAGAUGCAAUGCAGAUUUUCAACACUUGAUCUUGAUCCUUUUCCCAGAAAUGAGGAUGUGAUUUUUGCAGAGGAAACGCCAGUCACAAAAGGGACCAUUUGAUGCCUUAACCAGACACGUUCGGAGACAUAUUGGUUCCCCCGCAGUGCAUUUUCAAGCACUUUCCCUCUGCUUAUUGUUGCUUGGGAACAAGAAGACAGGUUUUGCUUACACUCUACUCUCACCUCAGCGUCACAACCUCUGUUCCCUCUCCAAAAACCGGAAAAGUUAAUUGGAGACUGUAAACUGUCCGUAGUGUGGUUGACUGGUGAUCAGUCCAGGGCGCACCAUCUCACCCCUCACCUCACUAAAAGCUAGGAUAGGCUCCAGCUCUGCCAUGAUCAAGAUAACUGAGUUUCAAGGCCCAAUGGUGGCAUGGAAUGCUGCACAGCGUCUUAAUAACUUGAGCAACACGACCAACGCGGAACAUCCUGUCGGUGGGAGCGAAGAGGAGCUCUUUGACAGGAGGACAAGAUCCACGGCCACAGUCUGAAGCUAACACGAUUCCAACACACUCCCCAUCUGUAUGAUAAUGAGACCUCGCGCAAGGGGGCGGGGGAAAAGAUCCAUUUUUCAGUCUUUUAUCCAUUGGUCAAUACAUCAUAUAAAUAUAUAAGCUUGUCCAUCUGGGAAAUAUGUUGGUGCUACCAAUAUAAUGUUUUUUGUUGUUUUUAAUGUGAAUGUUAAAAGGAUUGCAGAGAAAAAAAAUAUUAAAUUGUGUCAGCUGACAAAUAAUGAACCACGGACCAAACAUGCAUUUUGGUGGGUUUAUUCACCAGAAUUCUUAAACAACUACAUUUGCCACAAAAAGUGUUGUUCAACUGUCAAUUCAUAACCAAUUUUAUAUACACUUUAUUGAGAUCUAAUCUGCUUGUAAAGCGCUCUAAAAAAAAAAAAAAAUUCAAAAACCUCAAUCAAAGUUUUAUAUACACGUUGCAAGUAUAUAUGUUUUGUCGUAACAGGCACAUUCAUAAUACACAUGUAAUAAUUAAGUAUUUUACUAAUUUUAAGCAUACA